GAGUUUGAUCGUGGCUCAGAUUGAACGCUGGCGGCAUGCCUUACACAUGCAAGUCGAACGGCAGCACGGGAGCUUGCUCCUGGUGGCGAGUGGCGAACGGGUGAGUAAUGCAUCGGAACGUAUCCUGGAGUGGGGGAUAACGUAGCGAAAGUUACGCUAAUACCGCAUAUUCUGUGAGCAGGAAAGCGGGGGACCUUCGGGCCUCGCGCUCUUGGAGCGGCCGAUGUCGGAUUAGCUAGUUGGUGAGGUAAAGGCUCACCAAGGCGACGAUCCGUAGCAGGUCUGAGAGGAUGAUCUGCCACACUGGAACUGAGACACGGUCCAGACUCCUACGGGAGGCAGCAGUGGGGAAUUUUGGACAAUGGGGGCAACCCUGAUCCAGCCAUGCCGCGUGAGUGAAGAAGGCCUCGGUUGUAA
RNAcentral lists this ribosomal RNA (417 nucleotides) under bacterium enrichment culture clone ALO1_GLFRUDD03F0T87. Its description in RNAcentral is "bacterial SSU rRNA". It matches the Rfam family "Bacterial small subunit ribosomal RNA", at positions 9 to 428 of the family's 1533-position model. The record is from RNAcentral. RNAcentral also lists the same sequence under 18 other names.